GACGAACGCUGGCGGCGUGCCUAAUACAUGCAAGUAGAACGCACAGUUUAUACCGUGGCUUGCUACACCAUAGACUGUAAGUUGCGAACGGGUGAGUAACGCGUAGGUAACCUGCCUUGUAGCGGGGGAUAACUAUUGGAAACGAUAGCUAAUACCGCAUAAUAUUAAUUAUUGCAUGAUAUUUAAUUUAAAGGUGCAAUUGCAGCACUACCAGAUGGACCUGCGUUGUAUUAGCUAGGAGGUGAGGUAACGGCUCACCUAGGCGACGAUACAUAGCCGACCUGAGAGGGUGAUCGGCCACACUGGGACUGAGACACGGCCCAGACUCCUACGGGAGGCAGCAGUAGGGAAUCUUCGGCAAUGGACGAAAGUCUGACCGAGCAACGCCGCGUGAGUGAAGAAGGUUGUCGGAUCGUAAAGCUCUGUUGUAAGAGAAGAACGGGUGUGAGAGUGGAAAGUUCACAAUGUGACGGUAUCUUACCAGAAAGGGACGGCUAACUACGUG
Molecule: ribosomal RNA, 505 nt
Filed under: uncultured bacterium
Lineage: Bacteria
Description: partial 16S ribosomal RNA
Rfam family: Bacterial small subunit ribosomal RNA
Source: RNAcentral